This 494-nucleotide ribosomal RNA is filed under the name uncultured bacterium. RNAcentral describes it as "partial 16S ribosomal RNA". It matches the Rfam family "Bacterial small subunit ribosomal RNA", at positions 28 to 507 of the family's 1533-position model. The record is from RNAcentral.
GACGAACGCUGGCGGCGUGCUUAACACAUGCAAGUCGAACGGAAAGGCCUGCUUUCCCUUGUGGAUUGCGGGUACUCGAGUGGCGAACGGGUGAGUAACACGUGAGUGAUCUGCCCCCAACUUGGGUAUAAGCCUGGGAAACUGGGUCUAAUUCCCGAUAGGACUGCAGGGUGGUGCCUGUGGUGGAAAACGAUUUUCUAGUGGUUGGGGAUGAGCACGCGGCCUAUCAGCUUGUUGGUGGGGUAAUGGCCUACCAAGGCGGCGACGGGUAGCCGGCCUGGGAGGGUGGGCGGCCACGUUGGAACUGAGAUACGGGCCAGACUCCCACGGGAGGCAGCAGUGGGGAAUAUUGCACAAUGGGCGGAGGCCUGAGGCAGCGACGCCGCGUGGGGGAUGACGGGCUUCGGGUGGUAAACUCCUUUCGACCGCGAGGAAGCCACCUGGUUGGAAGGGUGGUGACGGUAGUGGUAGAAGAAGCACCGGCUAACUACGUG